AUUGAACGCUGGCGGCAGGCCUAACACAUGUAAGUCGAGCGGCUGAAGGGAGCUUGCUCCUGGAUUCAUCGGCGGACGGGUGAGUAAUGCCUAGGAAUCUGCCUGGUAGUGGGGGAUAACGUCCGGAAACGGGCGCUAAUACCGCAUACGUCCUGAGGUAGAAAGUGGGGGAUCUUCGGACCUCACGCUAUCAGAUGAGCCUAGGUCGGAUUAGCUAGUUGGUUGGGUAAAGGCCUACCAAGGCGACGAUCCGUAACUGGUCUGAGAGGAUGAUCAGUCACACUGGAACUGAGACACGGUCCAGACUCCUACGGGAGGCAGCAGUGGGGAAUAUUGGACAAUGGGCGAAAGCCUGAUCCAGCCAUGCCGCGUGUGUGAAGAAGGUCUUCGGAUUGUAAAGCACUUUAAGUUGGGAGGAAGGGCAGUAAGUUAAUACCUUGCUGUUUUGACGGUACCAACAGAAUAAGCACCGGCUAACUUCGUG
RNAcentral lists this ribosomal RNA (484 nucleotides) under uncultured bacterium. RNAcentral's name for it is "partial 16S ribosomal RNA". It matches the Rfam family "Bacterial small subunit ribosomal RNA", at positions 30 to 507 of the family's 1533-position model. The record is from RNAcentral.